GAGAAAGGUUCUUAAUAGAGGGAGGGGCUCCGCCCUCUACUCUCCAUUUUCUUGUUUUUUGUUUUUUAUUUUAUUUUAUUUUAUUAUUUAAUAGAUGUUAAUUUUUAAAUUAGGGUUAGGGUUUAUUUUGUGAAUUUCUUUGAAAUAAUAGAGAGAUAUGUGAUUUGAUUUUUUGGGUUUGGUAGUUUGAAGGAGAAGAAGUUUAAAAAAAUAGAAG
RNAcentral lists this long non-coding RNA (217 nucleotides) under Lathyrus oleraceus (garden pea). RNAcentral's name for it is "Pisum sativum (pea) long non-coding RNA (PSAT_LNC036681)". Lineage: Eukaryota; Viridiplantae; Streptophyta; Magnoliopsida; Fabales; Fabaceae. The record is from RNAcentral.